GAUGAACGCUGGCGGCGUGCCUAAUACAUGCAAGUCGAGCGAACAGAUGAGGAGCUUGCUCCUCUGACGUUAGCGGCGGACGGGUGAGUAACACGUGGAUAACCUACCUAUAAGACUGGGAUAUCUUCGGGAAACCGGAGCUAAUACCGGAUAAUAUAUUGAACCGCAUGGUUCAAUAGUGAAAGACGGUUUUGCUGUCACUUAUAGAUGGAUCCGCGCUGCAUUAGCUAGUUGGUAAGGUAACGGCUUACCAAGGCAACGAUGCGUAGCCGACCUGAGAGGGUGAUCGGCCACAGUGGAGCUGACACGCGAUCCAGGCACCUACGGGAGGCAGAAGUAGGGAAGGUUCCGAAAUGGGCGGAAGACUGACGGAGGAGCGCCGCGUGGGUGAAGAAGGGCUUCGGAUCGUAAAACGCUGUUAUUAGGGAAGAACAAAUGUGUAAGUAACUAUGCGCGUGUUGACGGUACCUAAUCAGAAAGCCACGGCUAACUACGU
RNAcentral lists this ribosomal RNA (496 nucleotides) under uncultured bacterium. RNAcentral's name for it is "partial 16S ribosomal RNA". It matches the Rfam family "Bacterial small subunit ribosomal RNA", at positions 28 to 506 of the family's 1533-position model. The record is from RNAcentral.